This 1023-nucleotide ribosomal RNA is filed under the name uncultured bacterium. RNAcentral's name for it is "bacterial SSU rRNA". It matches the Rfam family "Bacterial small subunit ribosomal RNA", at positions 434 to 1465 of the family's 1533-position model. The record is from RNAcentral.
CUUGGUUGAGUAGAUGGGUGUAAAGUUUUCGGAAGAAAGUAGUGGACUGACGGUCGACCAGAAACGGCUAAUACGUGCCAGCAGCCGCGUAAUACGUAGGUGGCUGUCCGGAAUUAUUGGGCGUAAAGCGCGCGCAGGCGGUAAGUUGAUGUGAAAGCCCCCGGGCUCAACCGGGGAGGGUCAUUGGAAACUGGGGAACUUGAGUGCAGAAGAGGAGAGCGGAAUUCCACGUGUAGCGGUGAAUGCGUAGAGAUGUGGAGGAACACCAGUGGCGAAGGCGGCUCUCUGGUCUGUAACUGACGCUGAGGCGCGAAAGCGUGGGGAGCGAACAGGAUUAGAUACCCUGGUAGUCCACGCCGUAAACGAUGAGUGCUAAGUGUUAGAGGGUUUCCGCCCUUUAGUGCUGCAGCAAACGCAUUAAGCACUCCGCCUGGGGAGUACGGCCGCAAGGCUGAAACUCAAAGGAAUUGACGGGGGCCCGCACAAGCGGUGGAGCAUGUGGUUUAAUUCGAAGCAACGCGAAGAACCUUACCAGGUCUUGACAUCCUCUGACAACCCUAGAGAUAGGGCGUUCCCCUUCGGGGGACAGAGUGACAGGUGGUGCAUGGUUGUCGUCAGCUCGUGUCGUGAGAUGUUGGGUUAAGUCCCGCAACGAGCGCAACCCUUGAUCUUAGUUGCCAGCAUUAAGUUGGGCACUCUAAGGUGACUGCCGGUGACAAACCGGAGGAAGGUGGGGAUGACGUCAAAUCAUCAUGCCCCUUAUGACCUGGGCUACACACGUGCUACAAUGGAUGGAACAAAGGGCAGCGAAGCCGCGAGGUGAAGCCAAUCCCAUAAAACCAUUCUCAGUUCGGAUUGCAGGCUGCAACUCGCCUGCAUGAAGCCGGAAUCGCUAGUAAUCGCGGAUCAGCAUGCCGCGGUGAAUACGUUCCCGGGCCUUGUACACACCGCCCGUCACACCACGAGAGUUUGUAACACCCGAAGUCGGUGGGGUAACCUUUUGGAGCCAGCCGCCUAAGGUGG